This 69-nucleotide transfer RNA is filed under the name Ictidomys tridecemlineatus (thirteen-lined ground squirrel). RNAcentral's name for it is "Spermophilus tridecemlineatus (thirteen-lined ground squirrel) tRNA". It matches the Rfam family "tRNA". From Rfam's summary of the family: Transfer RNA (tRNA) molecules are approximately 80 nucleotides in length. Their secondary structure includes four short double-helical elements and three loops (D, anti-codon, and T loops). Lineage: Eukaryota; Metazoa; Chordata; Mammalia; Rodentia; Sciuridae. The record is from Rfam by way of RNAcentral.
GGGGCUGGGGCUCAGUGGUAGAGCUCUUGCCUAGCACGCGUGAGGCACUGGGUUCAAUUCUCAGCACCA